This 305-nucleotide ribosomal RNA is filed under the name uncultured bacterium. Its description in RNAcentral is "bacterial SSU rRNA". It matches the Rfam family "Bacterial small subunit ribosomal RNA", at positions 336 to 639 of the family's 1533-position model. The record is from RNAcentral.
UUCCUACGGGGGGCAGCAGUGAGGAAUAUUGGUCAAUGGCCGCAGGGCUGAACCAGCCAAGUCGCGUGAGGGAUGACGGUCCUAUGGAUUGUAAACCUCUUUUGUCGGGGAGCAAAGCGAGUCACGUGUGACUCAUUGAGAGUACCCGAAGAAAAAGCAUCGGCUAACUCCGUGCCAGCAGCCGCGGUAAUACGGAGGAUGCGAGCGUUAUCCGGAUUUAUUGGGUUUAAAGGGUGCGCAGGCGGAGGUGCAAGUCAGCGGUCAAAUUGCGGGGCUCAACCCCGUACUGCCGUUGAAACUGCAUC